UACGUAGGGGGCUAGCGUUGUCCGGAUUUAUUGGGCGUAAAGAGCGUGUAGGCGGCCAGGUAGGUCUGCUGUGAAAACUCGAGGCUCAACCUCGAGACGUCGGCGGAAACCAUCUGGCUAGAGUCCGGAAGAGGAGAGUGGAAUUCCUGGUGUAGCGGUGAAAUGCGCAGAUAUCAGGAAGAACACCAACGGCGAAGGCAGCUCGCUGGGACGGAACUGACGCUGAGGCGCGAAAGCGUGGGGAGCGAACAGG
Molecule: ribosomal RNA, 253 nt
Filed under: uncultured bacterium
Lineage: Bacteria
Description: partial 16S ribosomal RNA
Rfam family: Bacterial small subunit ribosomal RNA
Source: RNAcentral